AGAGUUUGAUCCUGGCUCAGAGUGAACGCUGGCGGUAGGCCUAACACAUGCAAGUCGAACGGCAGCACAGGAGAGCUUGCUCUCUGGGUGGCGAGUGGCGGACGGGUGAGGAAUACAUCGGAAUCUACUCAGUCGUGGGGGAUAACGUAGGGAAACUUACGCUAAUACCGCAUACGACCUACGGGUGAAAGCAGGGGACCUUCGGGCCUUGCGCGAUUGAAUGAGCCGAUGUCGGAUUAGCUAGUUGGCGGGGUAAAGGCCCACCAAGGCGACGAUCCGUAGCUGGUCUGAGAGGAUGAUCAGCCACACUGGAACUGAGACACGGUCCAGACUCCUACGGGAGGCAGCAGUGGGGAAUAUUGGACAAUGGGCGCAAGCCUGAUCCAGCCAUACCGCGUGGGUGAAGAAGGCCUUCGGGUUGUAAAGCCCUUUUGUUGGGAAAGAAAUCCAGCUGGCUAAUACCCGGUUGGGAUGACGGUACCCAAAGAAUAAGCACCGGCUAACUUCGUGCCAGCAGCCGCGGUAAUACGAAGGGUGCAAGCGUUACUCGGAAUUACUGGGCGUAAAGCGUGCGUAGGUGGUCGUUUAAGUCCGUUGUGAAAGCCCUGGGCUCAACCUGGGAACUGCAGUGGAUACUGGGCGACUAGAAUGUGGUAGAGGGUAGCGGAAUUCCUGGUGUAGCAGUGAAAUGCGUAGAGAUCAGGAGGAACAUCCAUGGCGAAGGCAGCUACCUGGACCAACAUUGACACUGAGGCACGAAAGCGUGAGGAGCAAACAGGAUUAGAUACCCUGGUAGUCCACGCCCCUAAACGAUGCGAACUGGAU
RNAcentral lists this ribosomal RNA (825 nucleotides) under Stenotrophomonas sp. J54C17. RNAcentral's name for it is "bacterial SSU rRNA". It matches the Rfam family "Bacterial small subunit ribosomal RNA", at positions 8 to 821 of the family's 1533-position model. The record is from RNAcentral. Lineage: Bacteria; Pseudomonadati; Pseudomonadota; Gammaproteobacteria; Lysobacterales; Lysobacteraceae.